Pseudopipra pipra is the source of this 3501-nucleotide long non-coding RNA. RefSeq lists it as uncharacterized. The transcript is spliced from 4 exons. Lineage: Eukaryota; Metazoa; Chordata; Aves; Passeriformes; Pipridae. The record is from RefSeq and is a predicted model, not a curated record.
UUUUUGGAAUAUUCAGCCCUGCAGCUCAUCUCUGCUCUCUUUGCAGGUUGCCCUGGCAAUGGGGUGGUGUGAGAUCCGCCCUGGCACGGCUGUGUCUGUCCCACACCCACUGCAGGCAGCCCUGCCUGUACCUGCCGGGACAUGCAGCAGGUGACAGUGAGUCCUGUAGGCUCGUGCCACCUCCCAGCCCCAUCUGUGUGUGCAGCAGGUGCUUCAGGCUCUUUUCCAGCAGAAAGCCACCUCGUUUUCCCGGGUUAGGCAUCCUGCAGCACGACAGGAAAACUGUUCCAAGUGCCCAUCCAAUAGGAGAUGCUCGAGGACAGAAUGUCACUUGAAUGAGCUACUCCCUACACUAAGCAGAAGGUGACUGGACAAUUUACAUCUGCACACUUAUCAAAAGGAAGGCUGAAGAAUCAUAUUUAUUGGGUUCUCCACAGCCACAGGCCUGUGUUUAGUCCCAUGGUGCAGGAGGACCACAAGUGGAAGCACAGCCUGGUGAGCCCAGCAAGCAGAUCCUAACCCCAAGACACAGAUGUGCUGGACAGGAGAGCCCUGCCCUGCCCAACACUGUGGCAACAAAGGUGUUUAUCAGUACCUGACCAUCUGAGAGUUGGUUCUCCAGGCUGAUGCUCCAGCAGCACUGCAGAUUCCCAAACAGCAACACCAACCUCCUGAACUGGAUGGAGAACAUGGAAUUUGAUGCUACAGAGUCACUCAGAGGUACCAGGCUCUGGCUGUGACUCUGAACAGCUCCCUGAGUGCCCGUGGAGAGCAGACCAGUGUGGGAUUGGGCUUUAGAAACCCUCACAGGCUUUUCCUCUGCACAUCCCCCCAGCAGUCUGCACUGCACAUCUUCCUGCCUCCAGCCCUGGAAGGAUGUGCCACACUCCAGCGUGGGAGAACAGAGGAUCUGCAGCUGGGUAAGGUUGGUUGUGUUGCUUUCCCAGGGAGUUGCAGUGAUGGCUUUGGAAAAAACUGCUGCACUUCUGCUCCUGGCUCUGACCCCUUGCACAGCAGUUACUGUGCUUGGAUUCCAUUUGUAUUGCCAGGCAGGGGAAGAGAGAGGAAAAUAUGUCCUGCUUUUGCACUUAUGUCACUUAUUCAUUUAUAUAUAGACUCCAUCUUUGCAGUGUUAGUUACUCAUGUUGCUUUAUAUGGACCAAAGAGUUACUUGGAGAGGAGAGAGUUAAACAACAAGAAAUGGGCUGUAAAACUAAUUUCUUCAGACUCUGAGUCGCUCCCUGUCAGCAAGUGUGUUUGUGAUUCUAUUUCUGUGCAGUAAAACCCCGAUGAACCUUUCCAUACCAGAUGAGCCUUCCAUUCCCAAGGCUGUGGGACAGCAGUGCUUGGUGGAAGCUGUCCUGUGUGUGUGUGUGCACAUAUCCUGAGCUGUCAUGAUCCACAGGGAUCUCCUGAGCUAUCAGAAGGUGCCUGCCAGCCCAUUCCACAGCAUAUUACUAUUUUAAAUGUGUUUGGAACACACAUUUUGGAAACAUCCUUUCUUAUUUUACUUUUAUUUCAUAGAGGAAAAACCCAAAAGAUGCCUGCAAAGUGUUUCAGCUUGUAAUUUAUCCCUGCAGAACUGGGAGAGCAGCUCACUUAAUCCAUAAAUACCUUUUAUGUCAAUAGGUUAAAACAAACCCUAAAAUAUUCCCCUGCACAGAAAGCAGCUUAAUCUCAAACCCUUCCCUGCAGGUCCUGGUCAGGAAUCCCAGGAAGGCAGGCAUUCCAUGGAGCCUGGAGCAGGCUCAGCCUGGCCUGGGCACAGCCAUCAAUUCUGGGACACAGGGACAGGCCUGACCUCCCGCCCCACGAGGGGAUGAUCACACGCUGGGCUUGGUUAAAAACAGAAUUACACUGCAAUUACCAGGCCUGUGUUAAUGGUUAAUUUGAAUUACUCUGUCCAGGUCUCUCCUGGCCAUUAACUCCCAGGGCUGCUCCUGAGCAGCUCCAUGGGGAGUGAGUCCUGUGAAGGUGUUUGUGGAAGUGCUGCAGAACAGACACUGCAGAGUGAACUGGGGAGAAGGAAGUGCCCUGAGUGAGGGGCUGGGAUUUCUGGCUGCAGGGUUUGGUCACAGAACUCAGAACCUUUCAUUUGCCCCCAUCCCAGCCUGCAGUAACCAGGGCCAGCCCCGUCCCUUACCCCUGGAGGGGGAGCUGCACCAUCAGCACCAAGUGCUGUGGUCUGAGCUCACAGAACAGGGUCAGCACUUCUGAGGCUGAGGCAGGAGCCCCUUCUCCCUCACUCUGUGCUCAGCUGCCACUGAGGCAUUCUGGCAGAGGCUGUCAGGAGAAUACAGCCAGGACACUGUCCCUCCAGGGGGUGACACUGCCACCAUUCAGCCAGUGGUGUUCAGGGAGUGGGAGUUCCUGCCUCAGGACACCCCAUCCACAGGUGGGAAUGCUGGGCUCUGGCAGAGCCUGGAUGAGCAGCACCAGUCAGGGGGAGUAUCUGGGUUGUACCUACACCUCCUCUCAGGACCUGCUCUGCACUUCCUCUCCUACCACAUUUACAGUCUCCCCUGAGACUUUAAAGCCACCAGUGAUAGUCCAGAUCCACAUCCAAGGAAAUUACUCAGAUCACUAACCCAGAACUUUUAAAUGCAGGGGGUUCUCUGUUUCUGGUAUAAAAGUUGGGCUGUUUCUGUAAUAAAAUACUGUAUUAUUUAGUAAAGAAGCAAUAUGCUACUGCUUUUAAUGUACUACUUUUGGAAUAAAACUUCUCCAAAGGAAAUUAUGAAGCAUCAAACUUCUACCUAAUUGUGAUGGAAACCAUUCUAAGAGAACAGCUCAGUCUUACACAAUUAAAUGCAGGAGUGAGAGUUCCAUUAAACCUGAUCUAAGUUAUGCAAAAGCCAAUUCAAAAAAAUACCUUGAAUUACCACAAAUAAUUUGCAUUUUAAGUGAUCACUGAUGUUGGAACUGACUUUAUAAAAGCCACUUCAAACAAAAAUUACUUACAAACACUAUGUGCUCUGGGCUAAAUAUUCCUAAGAAAACAACAUUUGCAUAACCAUCCAGCACCUGUGGAGUUUCCAUGGGCAGGGUUUCAUCACUGGGAGAAUUAUCUCCCUUCUUGCCUCCCAGAAAUCCCUGGGAACAGGGCUGUCAUUGCUUCCUUUCUCUCAGAGACUUGUCACUUUGUGCCAGGGAUGUUCUGAGUGAUUGUCCAGAAGGGAAUGGAUGAGAACAGAUUGGAUUUAUGCAGGUCAUCAGCUAUGGCUCUGCCACACAGAAAUAAAGCCUCUCUCUCCUCCUCCUCUCUUCCUCUCAGUUACCUUGUACACCAACAAUGAACGUGGGAGAUGCAAACACUGCAGAGCCCCUUCUCCAGCAGGACUGAACCAGCACCUUCAAUGUUAACCUGAUUUUUGCUGGCUCUUGACCUAAUUAUGUGUGAGAACCUACAGGAAGGAGUGAUUUUGUUGGAGGAUUUGGGUCUCUCUUUGUGUUUCAUUUUAAGCAGCAGGUGCCCCCCGGUGCUCCAGCCUUACCCUGCUG